This 1337-nucleotide ribosomal RNA is filed under the name uncultured bacterium. RNAcentral describes it as "bacterial SSU rRNA". It matches the Rfam family "Bacterial small subunit ribosomal RNA", at positions 28 to 1381 of the family's 1533-position model. The record is from RNAcentral.
GACGAACGCUGGCGGCGUGCUUAACACAUGCAAGUCGAACGGUAAGGCCCUUCGGGGUACACGAGUGGCGAACGGGUGAGUAACACGUGGGUGAUCUGCCCUGCACUUCGGGAUAAGCCCGGGAAACUGGGUCUAAUACCGGAUAGUACUGCGCGGUGCAUGCCGUGUGGUGGAAAGAUUUAUCGGUGCAGGAUGGGCCCGCGGCCUAUCAGCUUGUUGGUGGGGUAAUGGCCUACCAAGGCGACGACGGGUAGCCGGCCUGAGAGGGCGACCGGCCACACUGGGACUGAGACACGGCCCAGACUCCUACGGGAGGCAGCAGUGGGGAAUAUUGCACAAUGGGCGCAAGCCUGAUGCAGCGACGCCGCGUGAGGGAUGACGGCCUUCGGGUUGUAAACCUCUUUCAGCAGGGACGAAGCGCAAGUGACGGUACCUGCAGAAGAAGCACCGGCCAACUACGUGCCAGCAGCCGCGGUAAUACGUAGGGUGCAAGCGUUGUCCGGAAUUACUGGGCGUAAAGAGCUCGUAGGCGGUUUGUCGCGUCGUCUGUGAAAACCAGCAGCUCAACUGUUGGCUUGCAGGCGAUACGGGCAGACUUGAGUAUUUCAGGGGAGACUGGAAUUCCUGGUGUAGCGGUGAAAUGCGCAGAUAUCAGGAGGAACACCGGUGGCGAAGGCGGGUCUCUGGGAAAUAACUGACGCUGAGGAGCGAAAGCGUGGGUAGCGAACAGGAUUAGAUACCCUGGUAGUCCACGCCGUAAACGGUGGGCGCUAGGUGUGGGUUUCCUUCCACGGGAUCCGUGCCGUAGCUAACGCAUUAAGCGCCCCGCCUGGGGAGUACGGCCGCAAGGCUGAAACUCAAAGGAAUUGACGGGGGCCCGCACAAGCGGCGGAGCAUGUGGAUUAAUUCGAUGCAACGCGAAGAACCUUACCUGGGUUUGACAUACACCGGAAAGCCGUAGAGAUACGGCCCCCCUUGUGGUCGGUGUACAGGUGGUGCAUGGCUGUCGUCAGCUCGUGUCGUGAGAUGUUGGGUUAAGUCCCGCAACGAGCGCAACCCUUGUCCUGUGUUGCCAGCGGAUAAUGCCGGGGACUCGCAGGAGACUGCCGGGGUCAACUCGGAGGAAGGUGGGGACGACGUCAAGUCAUCAUGCCCCUUAUGUCCAGGGCUUCACACAUGCUACAAUGGCCGGUACAGAGGGCUGCGAUACCGUGAGGUGGAGCGAAUCCCUUAAAGCCGGUCUCAGUUCGGAUCGGGGUCUGCAACUCGACCCCGUGAAGUCGGAGUCGCUAGUAAUCGCAGAUCAGCAACGCUGCGGUGAAUACGUUCCCGGGCCU